CCUACGGGAGGCAGCAGUGAGGAAUAUUGGUCAAUGGACGAGAGUCUGAACCAGCCAAGUAGCGUGAAGGAUGACUGCCCUAUGGGUUGUAAACUUCUUUUAUAAAGGAAUAAAACGAGGCACGUGUGCCUUUUUGCAUGUACUUUAUGAAUAAGGAUCGGCUAACUCCGUGCCAGCAGCCGCGGUAAUACGGAGGAUCCGAGCGUUAUCCGGAUUUAUUGGGUUUAAAGGGAGCGUAGAUGGGUUGUUAAGUCAGUUGUGAAAGUUUGCGGCUCAACCGUAAAAUUGCAAUUGAUACUGGCAGUCGUGAGUACAGUUGAGGUAAGCGGAAUUCGUGGUGUAGCGGUGAAAUGCUUAUAUCACGAAGAACCCCGAUUGCGAAGGCAGCUUACUAAACUGUGACUGACAUUGAUGCUCGAAAGUGUGGGUAUCAAACAGGAUUAGAUACCCGUGUAGUC
This 458-nucleotide ribosomal RNA is filed under the name uncultured bacterium. RNAcentral describes it as "partial 16S ribosomal RNA". It matches the Rfam family "Bacterial small subunit ribosomal RNA", at positions 338 to 795 of the family's 1533-position model. The record is from RNAcentral.